AGAGUUUGAUCCUGGCUCAGGAUGAACGCUAGCUACAGGCUUAACACAUGCAAGUCGAGGGGAAACGAUAGAGAAAGCUUGCUUUUUCUAGGCGUCGACCGGCGCACGGGUGAGUAACGCGUAUCCAACCUGCCCACCACUUGGGGAUAACCUUGCGAAAGUAAGACUAAUACCCAAUGACGUCUCUAGAAGGCAUCUGAAAGGGACUAAAGAUUUAUCGGUGAUGGAUGGGGAUGCGUCUGAUUAGCUUGUUGGCGGGGUAACGGCCCACCAAGGCUACGAUCAGUAGGGGUUCUGAGAGGAAGGUCCCCCACAUUGGAACUGAGACACGGUCCAAACUCCUACGGGAGGCAGCAGUGAGGAAUAUUGGUCAAUGGACGAGAGUCUGAACCAGCCAAGUAGCGUGCAGGAUGACGGCCCUAUGGGUUGUAAACUGCUUUUAUAAGGGAAUAAAGUGAGCCUCGUGAGGCUUUUUGCAUGUACCUUAUGAGUAAGGACCGGCUAAUUCCGUGCCAGCAGCCGCGGUAAUACGGAAGGUCCGGGCGUUAUCCGGAUUUAUUGGGUUUAAAGGGAGCGUAGGCCGGAGAUUAAGCGUGUUGUGAAAUGUAGGUGCUCAACAUCUGCACUGCAGCGCGAACUGGUUUCCUUGAGUACGCACAAAGUGGGCGGGAUUCGUGGUGUAGCGGUGAAAUGCUUAGAUAUCACGAAGAGCUCCAAUUGCGAAGGCAGCUCACUGGAGCGCAACUGACGCUGAAGCUCGAAAGUGCGGGUAUCGAACAGGAUUAGAUACCCUGGUAGUCCGCACGGUAAACGAUGGAUGCCCGCUGUUGGUCUGAAUAGGUCAGCGGCCAAGCGAAAGCAUUAAGCA
Molecule: ribosomal RNA, 868 nt
Filed under: uncultured bacterium
Lineage: Bacteria
Description: bacterial SSU rRNA
Rfam family: Bacterial small subunit ribosomal RNA
Source: RNAcentral